This 406-nucleotide ribosomal RNA is filed under the name uncultured bacterium. Its description in RNAcentral is "partial 16S ribosomal RNA". It matches the Rfam family "Bacterial small subunit ribosomal RNA", at positions 30 to 526 of the family's 1533-position model. The record is from RNAcentral.
AUUGAACGCUGGCGGCAGGCCUAACACAUGCAAGUCGAACGAGUGGCGGACGGGUGAGUAAUGUCUGGGAAACUGCCCGAUGGAGGGGGAUAACUACUGGAAACGGUAGCUAAUCCCGCAUACCAUCGGAUGUGCCCAGAUGGGAUUAGCUAGUAGGUGGGGUAACGGCUCACCUAGGCGCCGAUCCCUAGCUGGUCUGAGAGGAUGACCAGCCACCCUGGAACUGAGACACGUUCCAGACGCCGACGGGAGGCAGCAGUGGGGAAUAUUGCACAAUGGGCGCAAGCCUGAUGCAGCCAUGCCGCGUGUAUGAAGAAGGCCUUCGGGUUGUAAAGUACUUUCAGCGAGGAGGCGUUACUCGCAGAAGAAGCACCGGCUAACUACGUGCCAGCAGCCGCGGUAAUAC